AAAAAAGUGUAGAAAAUUUGAAGAUCGCAAGAACAUGAGAAUUAUUUUGCCCUAAAAGGGCCUUGAUGUUAUGACAUUAGACAUAAUCACCCGUGGAGCAUCGGACAAGAAAUAUUGCUCCAAAUCCACUAACUUCAACCAAGAAAAAGUACAAAAUGUAUUGAUUUCUUCAAAUUCUCUCUAGCUUCUCUAUUUACAAAACAGUAAUCAAAGCACUCAUAAUCUCACAAAGAUUGUACAGAAUAACCAUUACACUUACUAAAAGAAUGGAGAUUAAACACAAAGAUCACUAUUAUAGAUUUUCAGAGAAACCUCAUCUCCCUCAAAGAAAAAGAACCAUCCAAAAUUGAAGGAGACGAAAGAGCCAAGUAUAAGUACUAAUCCAUACCAAUAAACACAAUCUAGGGUCAAGAAUGAGCCAUGCACACGACAGAUCAAAACCUUUAAAAUCAAAAGCAAAGUCAUUUUAAACUGGAAACACAUUUUUAACCAACUGGAUCUUAACCCGCUUUUAGAAAUAAGACAGUCUAAGAAGGAAUUGCAGCCCAACAGGUCAAGUAAAAUAGUGAGGCAGUCCAACCAUUCUGACAUCUUUGUUUUAAGUGGAAUUACACUCACUAAUACAUUUAAAUUCUCAAUUUCAAAAAUCAAGUUAUAACUAUUUUUUUUUUUUCCAAGAAUCAGGUUAUAAUUAGUAUUAUUUUUAAUUUAAAAACAUGUAUUAUAAUCCCCCAACCAAACAACCCUGAAAUCUCACCUAUAUUCACCUGUACCUGCCCAUGCUACCUCCCUAUUCACUCCCUCACACACGCACAACACAAUUAGAUCGGCCACAAUCCAGUAAGUUGGUCACUGAGCGCGAUGCCCCUGCGCGUACAAUCCUACACGGCGAUUGCCAUUGUGUGAAGCAGCACCUUGAUCACCUUCUCCAGGAGCCAUAAGUGAAUGUCGUACCAUCAUUAAGUAGUAGCGCUGGGUCGAUUACCUUCUCCAGGGUCUCACAUAUGAGAUCUAGUACAUUUUUGAAAUUUAAAGUCAAUACAACAAACAUAGAAAUUCUAUUUUGCAAAAAUAAGGUUUUCUCGUUUCUCUCUCUUUUUCUGAUUUUGUGGUGUUGAAAUUGGGGGUUGAUUUGUGGUGUAUUGAAAGUGUAGGUGUAUGUGGUGGUGGCGGGUUUAGUAUUUUGUUGAUGGGAUUGUGGCAAUAGUGUGGUAGUGUUGGAAAAAAUGGUGGAUUUUAGCAAGCAAUGGUGGUACGAUGGUUGAUUAGAGGUGGUAGUGGUGAGUGGUUUUUGGAGCAGGCGGUUGUGGGAUGCGACGCGACGGCGAUGUAUGUGGUAGUGGUGCUGGCGGUGCUGAUGAGGUAGUACUGCUGACGGUGAGGUGCGAUUGUUUGGUGCCCCAUGGUUGAUCUAGGAUAAGUGGCAUGGGGUGAGUAGCGUGUGAUCAAUUAUUUAUAAUCAUGACUAUCGCAUUUUUACAUUUUUAUGUCCCGCAAGUGUACGAAUUAUAACAAGUAAUUUA
RNAcentral lists this long non-coding RNA (1523 nucleotides) under Olea europaea subsp. europaea. Lineage: Eukaryota; Viridiplantae; Streptophyta; Magnoliopsida; Lamiales; Oleaceae. The record is from RNAcentral.